UGCGGCAAUUGGUGCAGUCCCUUCAGGGGAAAUCUGUUAUAUUCUUAAUCAUGUUAAUAUAUUCGAAAUAAUGAAUCAAAUACUUUCUGCAUUACAUAAUAUUCUAUCAUGGCAGAUAUAGGGACAAUAUGUAUUCAUAAUAUUCGAUGGAACAUCAGAUGAAAUAAUAGAUUUUUUUCGUCUAGCAAAUUAUUAUAACCCUUUAUUAAAGUUCAAACGAAAAAAUGUCGUU
Molecule: long non-coding RNA, 232 nt
Filed under: Mytilus galloprovincialis (Mediterranean mussel)
Lineage: Eukaryota; Metazoa; Mollusca; Bivalvia; Mytilida; Mytilidae
Source: RNAcentral